AUUUUCUCGCCGCCGGCCGUUUUCCGACUAGUCCCUACCAUGGCGGAGGAAGAUAGUGAUUUUCUGAGCUUAUCCGAUCUAGAAUCUGAGCUAGAUUCAAUCUCUAUCCCUAUGUUCUUCGACAAAAAUCGCCAUAUUUGUUAUUUAGAGAUGAUGCUUGAGCUACUACCUUCACCUUACCAAUCGCAGGAGAUCAAUCGUCUCACUCUUGCUUACUUCGUCGUCUGCGGUCUCGAUAUCCUUCGCUCUCUCGAUCGCGUUGACAAAGAAGGGGUGAUUAAUUGGGUUUUGUCACUGCAAACUCAUCUGCAAGACGAAGCUGAACUGAGCAAUGGACAAUUUUAUGGGUUCCAUGGUUCUAGAAGUUCUCAGUUUCAACCAAAUGACUAUGGGAAUGCGAUCCCAAAUUGCAGUCAUUUGGCAAGUACUUACUGCGCACUGUCCAUAUUGAAGACUCUUGGUUAUGAUUUAACACUAAUGGAUUCCAUGUCAAUCAUCAAAUCAAUGAAAAAUCUUCAGCAACAUGAUGGGAGCUUUAUGCCCAUUCAUAGCGGGGCAGAGACAGACCUCCGCUUUGUAUAUUGUGCAGCGGCAAUCUCUUCAAUGUUGGAAAACUGGAGUGGCAUUGACAAAGAGAAAGCCAAGGAGUACAUAAUAAACUGUCAGUCAUACGAUGGUGGCUUUGGUUUAACUCCUAGUUCAGAAUCACAUGGUGGUGCCACUUUUUGUGCUGUUGCAUCUCUCAGAUUGAUGGGAUUAAUUGAAGAUGAUAUAUUAUCGAAGAAUGUAUCCUCUUGUUUCAUAGACGUGCCCUUGCUUCUAGACUGGUGCCUACAGAGACAGGCAGCCACUGAUGGUGGAUUCCAAGGUAGACUAAACAAAGCUACUGACACCUGUUAUGCUUUCUGGGUGGGAGGAGUUUUAAAGAUCUUGGGGGCUCACAAGUUCAUCGACUAUGAAGGCUUACGUAAAUUUCUUUUCACCUGUCAAUCCCAGUAUGGUGGUUUUGGUAAGACUCCGGAGCAGCUGCCAGAUCUUUACCAUGCCUACUAUGGAUUUUGUGCAUUUAGUAUGUUAGAGGAACCUGGCCUCAAAUCGAUCUGCACUGAGCUGGGUAUAACAAAUGGACCUGUGCAGCUGCUAUAAAUCAUGCUCCACGCUCAUGAUCACAACGAUUUGCAAGGCUCAGGUACAAUUAAGUUGCUUGGAGAUAGAAUUGAUACUUUUUAUCUAUUUCUUUUCGUCUUUUCCGUGUAUUAUUAAAUUAUAGCAUAUUUGAUUCAAGAUUUUUUUUGGCAUUGAUGAUACAGCUUUAUUUUCACCUUGUUUUGUUCAUUUGAAAGUGAUCGCUUAAUUGUUGUAGCAUUUUUGACAUUUUGCUCCGAGAUAGUGGCUUUGUCACAAGUAGUCGCCUAUCUAAUUAUCGGUUUUUCUAGUGGUAAGAGCGUAA
RNAcentral lists this unclassified non-coding RNA (1450 nucleotides) under Hevea brasiliensis (rubber tree). Lineage: Eukaryota; Viridiplantae; Streptophyta; Magnoliopsida; Malpighiales; Euphorbiaceae. The record is from RNAcentral.